Molecule: ribosomal RNA, 704 nt
Filed under: uncultured bacterium
Lineage: Bacteria
Description: bacterial SSU rRNA
Rfam family: Bacterial small subunit ribosomal RNA
Source: RNAcentral
GUCGAGCGGUAGAGAGGUGCUUGCACCUCUUGAGAGCGGCGGACGGGUGAGUAAAGCCUAGGAAUCUGCCUGGUAGUGGGGGAUAACGCUCGGAAACGGACGCUAAUACCGCAUACGUCCUACGGGAGAAAGCAGGGGACCUUCGGGCCUUGCGCUAUCAGAUGAGCCUAGGUCGGAUUAGCUAGUUGGUGAGGUAAUGGCUCACCAAGGCGACGAUCCGUAACUGGUCUGAGAGGAUGAUCAGUCACACUGGAACUGAGACACGGUCCAGACUCCUACGGGAGGCAGCAGUGGGGAAUAUUGGACAAUGGGCGAAAGCCUGAUCCAGCCAUGCCGCGUGUGUGAAGAAGGUCUUCGGAUUGUAAAGCACUUUAAGUUGGGAGGAAGGGCAUUAACCUAAUACGUUAGUGUUUUGACGUUACCGACAGAAUAAGCACCGGCUAACUCUGUGCCAGCAGCCGCGGUAAUACAGAGGGUGCAAGCGUUAAUCGGAAUUACUGGGCGUAAAGCGCGCGUAGGUGGUUCGUUAAGUUGGAUGUGAAAUCCCCGGGCUCAACCUGGGAACUGCAUUCAAAACUGUCGAGCUAGAGUAUGGUAGAGGGUGGUGGAAUUUCCUGUGUAGCGGUGAAAUGCGUAGAUAUAGGAAGGAACACCAGUGGCGAAGGCGACCACCUGGACUGAUACUGACACUGAGGUGCGAAAGC